Molecule: microRNA, 24 nt
Filed under: Zea mays
Lineage: Eukaryota; Viridiplantae; Streptophyta; Magnoliopsida; Poales; Poaceae
Description: microRNA miR-3011
Source: RNAcentral
AAAGAUCCAAACAUGAAGAGCUAA